Molecule: ribosomal RNA, 415 nt
Filed under: uncultured bacterium
Lineage: Bacteria
Description: bacterial SSU rRNA
Rfam family: Bacterial small subunit ribosomal RNA
Source: RNAcentral
UGAGGAAUAUUGGUCAAUGGGCGCAAGCCUGAACCAGCCAUCCCGCGUGAAGGAAGAAUGCGCUACGCGUUGUAAACUUCUUUUCCAGGGGGAGAAUUUUCCUGUCGAGACAGGGAUUGACGGUACCCUGGGAAUAAGCAUCGGCUAACUCCGUGCCAGCAGCCGCGGUAAUACGGAGGAUGCGAGCGUUAUCCGGAUUUAUUGGGUUUAAAGGGUGCGUAGGCGGAUUGAUAAGUCAGUGGUGAAAUUCUGCAGCUUAACUGUAGACUUGCCGUUGAUACUGUUAGUCUUGAGUGUGGUCAAGGCAGGCGGAAUGUGUAAUGUAGCGGUGAAAUGCUUAGAUAUUACACAGAACACCGAUUGCGAAGGCAGCUUGCUGGGUCAUUACUGACGCUGAUGCACGAAAGCGUGGGGA